Dicentrarchus labrax (European seabass) is the source of this 1349-nucleotide long non-coding RNA. RefSeq lists it as uncharacterized. The transcript is spliced from 3 exons. The record is from RefSeq and is a predicted model, not a curated record. Lineage: Eukaryota; Metazoa; Chordata; Actinopteri; Moronidae.
AAUCAGAGAAGGUUUUGGUUUUUUAAUACUUGUUCACAAGACAGUAUGAAUACACAGGAGAUAUAUACGUGUGUGCUGUGUGCGAGUGAAGACGUCCUACUUUCCAGGAGAAUACAGAUGUUGUAACACAGUCCUGAGACCAGCAGCUGCUUUGAUCUGGGCUGACGAAACACCGGAGACGGAUUAGUCCCAGCUGCCAGCUAAUAAAUGCAUCAGUGUCUCCGUAGCAACCAUCACGUUGGUGAAGCACCAUGAAACCGGAGGAAUCUGUCUGACGCUGGCGGAGAAAAACCAACAACAGAGAAGGCGCUGUGGGGGAAUAAAAGAAAUGGAUGAGGGUGUGAAGAACAGCAGAGUGACGCAGCCUUUCUUAUUUCAGCUGAUGGAUAACAACAGCUCUCUGGAGAGCAGCCGAGAGGAUCUGGAGAAUGAGAAUGUAGAAGGCAGUACAGUGGACAAUAAAACUCCUCCUUUGUGCAUUCAUCCUGUCUGUCCUGCAUGAAUACUGCACACAGAGACAGCGCUCCCUGAUGGAUUCAUCCUUCAUCAGCUCUCUGCGUUAAAGCUGGAAUCCGGCAGGCAAGGUGACAGAGCACCUGGUGUCGUCCUCGUGUUUCACCUGUUUGUUCCUAUGGAGUGAAUCCACUGGCCACAGACAGACGGGGGGACAAAUUAAGGGGACAAACAUGAAUAAACAACAAGUGCAGAUGCCUCCAUACAGUACACAAUGGCUUCACUGAGUGUUUUCAUGGAAAUGAUGUGAAUCAUGUGCUGUGGCCUUUAAAGCCACCAGUUCUGAACGCAACUGGGUACCGCUGUAUUCAGACAGUCCACCUGCAGAUACAGCUGUUUCACUUUGUCUGUAGAUGUUUAACAGAUUAUUUAUAGAGUACAUGAGACACUUCAAUCAUACCCUAAUGGCCUAAAUCCACCGGACGCAGCUGAGAUGUACCCGUGGUGCAGAUUAUUAUUAUUAUGAUUAUAUAAAAUAUAACAGGAAAUAGUAAAAAAACAACAAUAAACACAAUUAAAGGAAACUCUUGAACUGCGUAGUCUACAGAAACAUUGAGGAAAAAAUACAAAAUUCAACAACAUCCGGACAUCUGUUGAGAUUUGGACCGAACUGACCUGGACCACUGCUGGUUUCUCUUUCUGUUAAUCUGAUUGCAACUGAACAUGUCGGUCUCAUGUCUGAAUAAGAAUCCUGGAUAGCUUCAUGUAAAGGUCAAGACAACUGUCUCUCAAGUCUAACCUGAAUGCUGGCAGAUUAAAGGUCCACUGUGUAGGUAUAACUGCAGAUUGCAACCCCUUCACAAAACCCUCUCCUUCCAAGCUAAAUACCCUAUCUA